RNAcentral lists this ribosomal RNA (20 nucleotides) under Armillaria sp. 9T2. The record is from RNAcentral. Lineage: Eukaryota; Fungi; Basidiomycota; Agaricomycetes; Agaricales; Physalacriaceae.
AUCCACGGCCAUUAGGACUA